CAGCACCUCAAGUGGUCAGGAUGAUUAUUGGGCCUAAAGCAUCCGUAGCCGGCGCUGUAAGUUUUCGGUUAAAUCUGUACGCUCAACGUACAGGCUGCCGGGAAUACUGCAGAGCUAGGGAGUGGGAGAGGUAGACGGUACUCGGUAGGAAGGGGUAAAAUCCUCUGAUCUAUUGAUGACCACCUGUGGCGAAGGCGGUCUACCAGAACACGUCCGACGGUGAGGGAUGAAAGCUGGGGGAGCAAACCGGAUUAGAGACCCGAGUAGUCC
RNAcentral lists this ribosomal RNA (270 nucleotides) under uncultured archaeon. RNAcentral's name for it is "partial 16S ribosomal RNA". It matches the Rfam family "Archaeal small subunit ribosomal RNA", at positions 477 to 747 of the family's 1478-position model. The record is from RNAcentral.